UGGUUCUGGCAUCGAUGAAGAACGCAGCGAAAUGCGAUAAGUAAUGCGAAUUGCAGAAUUCAGUGAAUCAUCGAAUCUUUGAACGCACAUUGCACCCUCUGGUAUUCCGGAGGGUAUGCCUGUUCGAGCGUCAUUACAACCCUCAAGCACAGCUUGGUAUUGGGUAGCACCUGAGGUGGUGUACCUUAAAAUCAGUGGCGGUGCCAAUUGGCUUCAAGCGUAGUAGCACAUCUCGCUCUGGAGCUCAUUGUGCUCUUGCUAUAGCACCUUGACUAUCUAUGGUUGACCUCGGAUCAGGUAGGGAUACCCGCUGA
Molecule: unclassified non-coding RNA, 314 nt
Filed under: uncultured fungus
Lineage: Eukaryota; Fungi
Description: partial contains 5.8S ribosomal RNA and internal transcribed spacer 2
Rfam family: 5.8S ribosomal RNA (bases 1-133)
Source: RNAcentral